RNAcentral lists this ribosomal RNA (492 nucleotides) under uncultured bacterium. RNAcentral describes it as "partial 16S ribosomal RNA". It matches the Rfam family "Bacterial small subunit ribosomal RNA", at positions 29 to 507 of the family's 1533-position model. The record is from RNAcentral.
AUUGAACGCUGGCGGCAUGCUUUACACAUGCAAGUCGAACGGUAACAGGCCUUCGGGUGCUGACGAGUGGCGAACGGGCGAGUAAUGCAUCGGAACGUGCCCAGCGGUGGGGGAUAACGCAGCGAAAGCUGUGCUAAUACCGCAUGUGAUCUGAGGAUGAAAGCGGGGGACCAGGCAGCAAUGUUUGGCCUCGCGCCUUUGGAGCGGCCGAUGUCGGAUUAGGUAGUUGGUGGGGUAAAGGCCUACCAAGCCGACGAUCUGUAGCUGGUCUGAGUGGACGACCGGCCACACUGGGACUGAGACACGGCCCAGACUCCUACGGGAGGCAGCAGUGGGGAAUGUUGGACAGUGGGCGCAAGCCUGAUCCAGCAAUGCCGCGUGCGGGAAGAAGGCCUUCGGGUUGUAAACCGCUUUUGUACGGAACGAAAAGGCUCUGGCUAAUACCUGGGGCUGAUGACGGUACCGGAAGAAUAAGCACCGGCUAACUACGUG